RNAcentral lists this long non-coding RNA (2678 nucleotides) under Brachypodium distachyon (stiff brome). RNAcentral describes it as "long non-coding RNA (BDIS_LNC002513)". Lineage: Eukaryota; Viridiplantae; Streptophyta; Magnoliopsida; Poales; Poaceae. The record is from RNAcentral.
CAAACUCUUUCGGCACAUGCUCUCGAUCCCAACCUUUUGGCACGACAAGAAAUAAAGAAAACAUGUGCAAACAAAAGCGACGCAUCACGUACGGCCACACAUGCAUGUAUGUACGCCCGUUUGCGGUCCAUAUCACAUCCAAAGUCUCUAGCUUUGUCGAGGAUUUUUUUUUUUGUUCAUUUUCAUUCCACUGAUUAUUAUAUUUUUUCCUUCGUAGAUCAAUAAUGCGAAGACCGUUGUUCUGGAAAAAAAAUGUGGCUAGAUGCUCUCCUCUCUGUUUUUUUAGGGAACCCUCUUCUCUCUGUUUUUUACACCGUGAAGUGGAGGCCUUUUCUACUGUACUACCAAGAAACCGAAGAAAAUAAAGUACUCCGUAGUAAAGAACGGCUUCGGCCCGAUGGACGUGGAGAGCACAAGGUCCAUAUGAGGGCUUUCACUUUCAGACUUCGGUGGUAUAUCGAUCGCAUUCGCAUGCAACAUCCUGUUUGGGCAAAGCUCUCUUUGCACGGUGCUUGCUAGGCAGCGCACACUAGCUAUUACUCCCGUACAGAAUGACCCGUCAGAUGCCAUUUCUGUGGCAAUUCAGUGGAAAGUGCCAAUUCAAUUCCCGUCCAAUCGACCGUCCAUCGUCGAGCCAAGCUGAUUGAACUCGUCGUCUCUCGCUUUCUUCUCUCUCACCAGCUAGACCACACCACCGGUGACACGUCAAGUCAUCAUCGAGUCACCACGCUGCCCGCCGCUUGGAUCGUGCGAUUCGCGCCAAAAGUGGCAUCCAUGCAUGUUGCCUCCCCCUACGGUUUAAAGAAAAGAAAAGAACCACGCGAUCAAACUUCCUAGUGCUUUUAAUUACUCUGACCAACAAACGUCUGCUAGCUUAGCUUCAUGACCUAAUGCUUGCACUAAACAUAUCGAUUCGAGUACAUUAAUAAUUCGUGUCCGGAAUCGAAUCAAUAAUUGAACUUACGAUGGAAAUCUUUGAACUAUAUUAUCGAAAUUCCCUUCCUUCUUCCGCACGACAACCAAUAUCCUACUCGGACGUCAACCAUUCUUCGUCAGCAGAUGGAAUCACGUAGUACGUACGUAGGAGAACGCAGACUGUGGAAACGUGACAGAGACAAAGAAGACCCAAAGGAAACUCAUAGACGGUUUGGGAGAGCUGCAAUUUCCUAUGCAGCCAACUGCCGACAACUCUCUAACAAGUGGCUAAUUCUCCAUCACGACAGACCAGCUUGGCCGUCAAGUCUCUGAAAAAACUUGGCAAGCUACUUUACAAUAUGAAAAAACAGACAUCAAAAAGAUGGUCAUUAUAUCGCAGUUUAACAUAAAUCAGGAGUUCUAACAUAACAAAAAGGAUUAAUCAUUUCCGUCAAAAGAAAAAGAAAUUAAUCAGGCGUCUUUCAAAGAAAAAUCAAUAUGCAUAAAGAACAUUAUAAAGAAGUUCCCAGAGUGGGUUUCCAGCCAGACUCCCGUAAGUCGGUUGUGCGUCGAGCUUUCAAACCCAACUAGCUAGAGCCAUUUCCGGCGUUUGUUUUGCACGGCCACCAAAGGAACAUGGCCCGUACCUUUACAAAAACCCCACCGAGUAGCGUGAUGCCAUUUUUCUACUUUGGCCAACUCUUCCUUUCUGGACAACGCACCAAUCUGACCCAAUAUUUUUUCAGCUUGACUGACUCAUCAAUCACCAACCACUUGCACGACAACCCAGCUGGCCGCCUAUAUAACCAUGCGCCAGCUAAACGCCCAUUCAACACCGACCAGGACAAUUCACUUGGAAGUUGAAAUCUCUCAACACUUGGUGGUGAAGCAAAUUAAAGCGAGAGACCAAAAAAGAAAAGAAAGCAGAGGGGGUGCGGUGAGCCAGGCGGGAGAAGCUUUGCCUUACAGUACAGCCGCCGGCAACUGGCGGCCAUGGCGUCCUACGACAAGGCCAUGGAGUCGUACAAGAAGGCCAUCACCACGGCGGCGUCCCUGGCGGCGUCAGCGAUGCUGGUGCGGGGCGUCGUCAACGAGCUGGUACCCUACGAGGUGCGCAACCUGCUCUUCUCCGGCAUGGGCUACCUCCGCUCCCACAUGUCCUCCCAGCACACCAUCAUCAUAGAGGAGACAGAGGGCUGGGCCAACAACCAGCUCUACGACGCCGCACGGGCGUACCUGGCAACGCGGAUCAACACCGACAUGCAGCGCCUCCGGGUCAGCCGCGUCGACGAGACCAAGAGCAUGAUGUUCAGCAUGGAGGAAGGCGAGGAGAUGGCGGACGUCCACGAGGGCACCGAGUUCAAGUGGCGCCUCGUCUGCCGGGACAACUCCAGCGCCAGCAGCAGCAACGGCAACGGCAAUGGCCGCAGCGGCAAUUUCAAGCUCGAGGUCCGGUCCUUCGAGAUGAGCUUCCACAGGAAGCACAAGGAGAAAGCCCUCAACUCCUACCUUCCUCACAUCCUGGCCAUGGCCAAGAAGAUCAAGGAGCAGGACAGGACGCUCAAGAUCUACAUGAACGAAGGCGAGUCAUGGUUCGCCAUCGAUCUCCACCACCCGUCCACCUUCAGCACGCUUGCCAUGGAUCACAAGAUGAAGCAGUCGGUCAUGGAUGAUCUCGAGCGGUUUGUCAAGAGGAAAGAGUACUACAAGAAGAUCGGCAAGGCAUGGAAACGAGGGUACCUGCUGUACGGCCCGCCUGGGAC